Acanthopagrus latus (yellowfin seabream) is the source of this 1658-nucleotide long non-coding RNA. RefSeq lists it as uncharacterized. NCBI's taxonomy places the organism in Eukaryota, Metazoa, Chordata, Actinopteri, Spariformes, Sparidae. The transcript has 3 exons. The record is from RefSeq and is a predicted model, not a curated record.
UCGGCCAAAACUGCACCCAGUUCGGCUUCGCCCUCCUGACUGAAAAAGGAAUAAUAAAACCCGCCACUGCUUCCUAUUAUCGCCAUCAAACCUGCAAGAACAACAACAAAAACCAAAAACAACAACAGACAAUAUCAGUCCGGGUCCGCCGACACCAGCCGUGCCUGCAGCGAGAGAGCGUUUUUUAUUUCUGUAUUUCUCUCUGACAGAGACGUGGCUGUAGUUAGACCGCCAGGGGACGAGGCGCAGAGAGUCGCCUGCUCCUCCACUUCUCUGCUGCUUUGUCCUGAAUUCAGGCUGAGAAAACGCUGCAGCUUGUUUUUCCCAAUGCAGAGCGCCUCGACGCCAUGAGCUGCUGCUACUGCUGCCCCUGUGCAGUGAGAGAGCACACUGAACACCAACAGUCAGUCAUCCAGAUCUGCCACCACCAAAUGAAAUUACACAGGAAUGAAUCAGCCAUUCAGACUCGGCCUGGCCCCUAUGAGCAGCUGGGGAACAUUGGUUGUCACACUGAACGGCGGUGAAAGAUGGGAGGGCAGGAGAUGAGCCCCCCCCUCCCGUCUGUGUGAUAAAGCCCCCUUAAAACCACAGCGUUUGGGCAUCUGGGCACACGAUGCCUCGCCUCCCCUCAUCCACUUCAAAGCCUCGUCUCAGAAGACAGCUCGCUGUUAGCAGCCGAAAUAGAAAAUGGAGGUGUGAUGGCGAGAACAACCGCGCGUAUGUGAAUUCACCGAGCAUCGGAUUAAAGGACAACAACGGUUUAUCACCACUUGUGCUUUAUUUGUUUUGGCCAAUAAAUUCACACUGCUUUACAACGUUGUGAUGAUUUUACACUCACAGAAGUAAUCAUGAGAAUCUGGAACGUGUCUGGAACAGGUCGCAGACAAGCCAAACCUUUUUCACUUCUCAAAGAGAAGUUAAAUCGAAAGUGAGAGUACGCAUGAGUAAUCAUACGCUUAUCGUCUUAACGUCGCACUCUAAAAUUGGUAAAAUGAGCUGUCUGUCUGGCCCAUUACGGCCCCGACUGCCAGAGAGGUGAAUCAGGCUACUGUUAUCUUUGGUAUUGCAACAUGGAGACAACUAGCAAGUGGCCACAACUUUAUGAGAACGUAAAAAUUGAAAGUAAAUACUGGUCAUGCCAUUAAUGAUCUCUUAUCGUCUUAGUCUUGUACCGAAGAGUUCCUAAAAUGCGCUCUGUCUCCAACCAUGGCCUUGCUGCUUGGUAAGCAAAUUAGGCCAUUCUUAACUUUGCUAGCACAACAUGGAGAAAACAAGCAAGCUGUUACGACUUUAUGAGAGGUUAAAUUGAAAUGAGAAUAGUGGAAGUGUCAGGUAAUUGUUAUCUUUUCUAACGUAUAAUGGAGAAAACUAGCAGGCUCUGCUGGAUGUAUAACCAUCACAAUGAAACUUUCCGAAAAGUAAAUGUGGAAAGCAUUUUGCAGUUAGAAUAAGAAAUAAUGAACAAAGGUAAGGCUGUUUGCUGACUUUGUAAAAUGCUGCUAGCGUACACACUCUAUGGUAACGUUAGCUAGUUACUCGAGUGAAACAAGACACGACAGACAACAUUAAGUCAGUUUUUUCUUUUUUUUAUAACAAAUUCUGUUUUGAAUUAAUUCAGACAAGUUACAGGUCAGUUAACUUUGUUUGAACUAUUUCAU